GAAUGUGAGGGCAAUCUGGCAGCAACAUCUGUCACCCCAUUGAUCGCCAGGGUUGAUUUAGCUGAUCUGGCCUUCCAGGCAGGUGUCCCCUUCAUUCCUCACCACUCCAUGUGCAUUACUCCUGAAGUUGCAUGCUUGGUCAGAGAGGAAGAUCACCCCCAACAGAGCAGGACCAUUUCCUUGGUCAAGGCAUACAAGUAGCUGUGUUCCCCUGCUAGAACCUCCAAACAAGUUCUCAAGAAAGUCAUGCCCACCAAACCAGCACUCCAAAACAUUCCCAAAGAUAACCUGGAAAGAGACAAUGAAGCCAAUAAUACC
Non-coding RNA from Cavia porcellus (domestic guinea pig), 318 nucleotides. NCBI's taxonomy places the organism in Eukaryota, Metazoa, Chordata, Mammalia, Rodentia, Caviidae. The record is from Rfam.